UACGGUUUGCCCCGUAAAUGAUCCGGUACGGUUUUAUUAAUAUUUUUAAAGUUAAUAAUUAUCUGGUUGUCUCGUAAUGCGUGAAGCAUAUUCAAGGAAUAUUCCAAAGCAUAUUCAAGGAAUAUUCUCUUAUCUUCUUCUAUAAAUAUCCUUUACCAGUUUAUUUCGCACGUACAAUCAUUUCGUCAGUUUCUCUGCACGAAUACCGAGAGAAGACGAACGGGUGUUCUUCGUGUUCUUCAUAUUCAAACGAGGAUUUGAAGGCGUUAUUGGAAUCCGAUGGAGGCGUAUAAAUAGUCAAAACGAAGCUCUCGACGCGUAGAAUCUAGUUUAAUCAACCGUAACACUGCAGAUUUCACGGGGUUUGGACGAGACGGAUACGAUCGAAGACGUUCAGAAGGUCAAACGAUGUUACAAAGCGAAUAAGGAACGAAUCGAGUAAACGAAGCAGUGUGGCGAAUAGAGUAUAACCAAAGAUGGUUUAGAGACUAUGAUAUGCAUAGAGUGUGAAAGUGGAAAGAUGAGAUUGAGAUAUGAGACUGGAAUCGGAUUUAAGAAGAGCUUAGAGAUGAAUUGCUUGAUUGAGGUUGCGAGUAUGGCUAAGGCUAAGCGAGGAGUCAGAGUUAUAGAAUAUCCAGAGGACAAGUGGAAUGUCCAUGGAGAUUGUCAAGGUUGGUUCUAGAUAGAAUUGUAUUGAUGAGAUUCAGUUGUAAGUCAUAAUUGAGGUAGACUGGUAGUGAUUCUUCUUAUCGAAGAUGAUUUGAGUUUGUAAGAUAAUGUUUAUUAAUAGUGGUUGAUUCUAAUUUCAAUACUGUAACCUGGAUGCGAUCCUGUUUUUAGGGGGUUAAAGUGUUUUCUUUUAAAUCUUUUACUAAAGUUUUCAGGUUUUAAA
Molecule: long non-coding RNA, 892 nt
Organism: Daucus carota subsp. sativus
Lineage: Eukaryota; Viridiplantae; Streptophyta; Magnoliopsida; Apiales; Apiaceae
Exons: 3
Source: RefSeq, a predicted model, not a curated record